RNAcentral lists this ribosomal RNA (252 nucleotides) under uncultured bacterium. RNAcentral describes it as "partial 16S ribosomal RNA". It matches the Rfam family "Bacterial small subunit ribosomal RNA", at positions 524 to 776 of the family's 1533-position model. The record is from RNAcentral.
UACGUAGGGUGCAAGCGUUGUCCGGAAUUAUUGGGCGUAAGGGCUCGUAGGCGGUUUGUCGCGUCGGGAGUGAAAACCCAGGGCUUAACCCUGGGCUGGCUUCCGAUACGGGCAGACUAGAGGUAUGCAGGGGAGAACGGAAUUCCUGGUGUAGCGGUGAAGUGCGCAGAUAUCAGGAGGAACACCGGUGGCGAAGGCGGUUCUCUGGGCAUUACCUGACGCUGAGGAGCGAAAGUGUGGGGAGCGAACAGG